UCCCAUGUGGCUCAGUUGGUAGAGCAUGGUGUUUGCAAUUCCAGGGUUGUGGGUUUGAUUCCCACGGGGGAC
Molecule: transfer RNA, 72 nt
Filed under: Salmo salar (Atlantic salmon)
Lineage: Eukaryota; Metazoa; Chordata; Actinopteri; Salmoniformes; Salmonidae
Rfam family: tRNA
About the family: Transfer RNA (tRNA) molecules are approximately 80 nucleotides in length.
Source: Rfam by way of RNAcentral